GCCUGGCUGGCUCAGUCCAUAGAGCAUAUGACUCUUGAUCUCAGGGUCAUGAGUUCAAGCCUCAUGGUGGGUA
This 73-nucleotide transfer RNA is filed under the name Ailuropoda melanoleuca (giant panda). It matches the Rfam family "tRNA". From Rfam's summary of the family: Transfer RNA (tRNA) molecules are approximately 80 nucleotides in length. Their secondary structure includes four short double-helical elements and three loops (D, anti-codon, and T loops). The record is from Rfam by way of RNAcentral. Lineage: Eukaryota; Metazoa; Chordata; Mammalia; Carnivora; Ursidae.